This 252-nucleotide ribosomal RNA is filed under the name uncultured bacterium. RNAcentral describes it as "partial 16S ribosomal RNA". It matches the Rfam family "Bacterial small subunit ribosomal RNA", at positions 524 to 776 of the family's 1533-position model. The record is from RNAcentral.
UACGUAGGUAGCGAGCGUUAUCCGGAUUUACUGGGCGUAAAGCGUCUGCAGUCUGUUUAAUAAGUCUGAUGUUAAAGCCCGGGGCUCAACCCCGGUCCGCAUUGGAAACUGUUAGACUAGAGUUAUGGAGAGGUUAGUGGAAUUUCUAGUGUAUCGGUGGAAUGAGUAGAUAUUAGAAGGAACACCAGUGGCGAAGGCGACUAACUGGACAAUAACUGACGAUCAGAGACGAAAGCGUGGGUAGCAAACAGG